AAAUGAAUAGACGGGGGCUCACACAAGCGGUGGAGCAUGUGGCUUAAUUCGAGGCUACGCGAAGAACCUUAUCCUGGACUUGACAUGUUCGAAAGAGGUAGGAAGUAGGGGACGGAAACGCACCCCGAACGGUAUCCAAUCCGGAACCUACUACAGGUGCUGCAUGGCUGUCGUCAGCUCGUGUCGUGAGAUGUCGGGUUAAGUCCCAUAACGAGCGAAACCCUUACCCUCAGUUGCCAGCGGGUCAUGCCGGGGACUCUGGGGGGACUGCCGGUGUCAAACCGGAGGAAGGCGGGGAUGACGUCAAGUCCUCAUGGCCUUUAUGUCCAGGGCUGCACACGUGCUACAAUGCCGCGAACAAAGGGACGCCAACUCGCAAGAGGGAGCUAAUCCCAAAAAACGCGGCCCAGUUCAGAUCGAAGGCUGCAACUCGCCUUCGUGAAGUUGGAAUCGCUAGUAAUCGCAGGUCAGCAACACUGCGGUGAAUGUGUUCCUGAGCCUUGCACACACCGCCCGU
This 517-nucleotide ribosomal RNA is filed under the name uncultured bacterium. RNAcentral's name for it is "bacterial SSU rRNA". It matches the Rfam family "Bacterial small subunit ribosomal RNA", at positions 903 to 1397 of the family's 1533-position model. The record is from RNAcentral.